Molecule: long non-coding RNA, 377 nt
Organism: Haliotis rufescens (red abalone)
Lineage: Eukaryota; Metazoa; Mollusca; Gastropoda; Lepetellida; Haliotidae
Exons: 3
Source: RefSeq, a predicted model, not a curated record
UUAUGGAAAGAUUGUGAAAAUGUCACUUUGCCAGUCAUGGUGAUUCAUAAUCAUCAAGUCUGGCAAACAAGGAAGAAAGUAAAGUACAUUUCAGGGUUCAUUUUCCUUUGAAAUUGACCCAAGUGUCAUCACAAUGCCUUUCCCCCAAUUUAUGCAGGCAAUGGAGGACAUGACGAAGGACAUCAAACCAGGGGGAAAAGGAGACAACAGCAUUCCAGGAGAUACACACGGAAAUGUACACACCAAAUACACCAGAGCCUGUGAAUGAUGCAAACAAAAGUGGAUCAAGGCAAAACCAAAUAAAGAAAAUUCUGACAAUCAAUAAUUUCGAAAGGUGUAAAAGUUUUCUAAAAAUAUUAAAAUCUCCACAGAACUGA